Molecule: non-coding RNA, 143 nt
Organism: Otolemur garnettii (small-eared galago)
Lineage: Eukaryota; Metazoa; Chordata; Mammalia; Primates; Galagidae
Source: Rfam
UGCCAUUUAGAUUCAUCCUGUCUGGAUAAGGGGGUUAUUCAGCUCAGUGCUUCCCUCCUCUACCACUUAUUUGUUGAAUGUUUUGUAGCCAAGACUUUUACCCAAAAAUGAGCCGGAAGAGGGAGAAUGACACGAGUCACUUC